Molecule: unclassified non-coding RNA, 438 nt
Filed under: Hevea brasiliensis (rubber tree)
Lineage: Eukaryota; Viridiplantae; Streptophyta; Magnoliopsida; Malpighiales; Euphorbiaceae
Source: RNAcentral
CCCUUGACGAUGCUAUUUUGUUCUCCUCAUUCAAGGCAGAUUUGCAGAUAUACUCGUGGUUUGCCCAGUCGCUGGCAGUUGAGGAAGAGAUGUUUCCUUCAGCAUUUAGAGGUUUGGCAAUCAAAAUGCAACUCUUUAGGAAAAGUAAGCUUUGGAGUGCAAAAAUGUGGACAGUUGAUUUUGAGCCUGAAAUAAUCACAUUAAUGAAAGUUGUACUUAAAAGUUGCCUUCAAUAAUUCUUUUGCACUCUGGACCUGAGUGCUAACAAAGCAUCUCAAGAUAACAGGCACGCUGCAUAGCUCCAGCAUUUGCUAAGUCUUCCAGUCAGCAAGCUUAGCCUGGGCAAGAAAUUACUGCAUCACAGAUCCAGUCAACAUGGUAACUAAGCAGACUCCUGCAGUUAGCCUCUCCAGAAAUUAGCUGGAUAUUCCUCACUUG